Molecule: ribosomal RNA, 2194 nt
Filed under: Leucocytozoon toddi complex sp.
Lineage: Eukaryota; Apicomplexa; Aconoidasida; Haemosporida; Leucocytozoidae
Description: SSU rRNA
Rfam family: Eukaryotic small subunit ribosomal RNA
Source: RNAcentral
AAGUAUAUGCGUUUUCGGAACGCAGAAACUGCGAACGGCUCAUUAGAACAGUCAUGAUCUACUUGACAUUCCGCCUUUUUUUGGGGUAUAUUAGGAUACCUGCGGAAAAGCUGCAGCUACUACUUGACCGAUGCGUCCUUUCUAGGCGAAUGCUUGGAGGUCGGGUGCGGUAUUUGUUAGCGCUGCAAGAAAAAGGAGAAGAUGGGAGUGCGAACAAAGAAGCGACACGUAUACUCAGAAGGAGUCCCCUUUUUGGUAUGAAGUGCGUAUCAAUCGAGUUUCUGACCUAUCAGCUUUGGAUGUUAGGGUAUUGGCCUAGCAUGGCGAUGACGGGUAACGGGGAAUUGGAGUUCGAUUCCGGAGAGGGAGCCUGAGAAAUCGCUACCACAUCUAAGGAAGGCAGCAGGCGCGUAAAUUACCCAAUUCUGACGAAGAGAGGUAGUGACAAGAAAUAACAAGGUACGGUCUUUCAGACUGUACGAUUGCAAUGGUGGGAACCUACACCCUUCCCAGAGAAGCCAUUGGAGGGCAAGUCUGGUGCCAGCAGCCGCGGUAAUUCCAGCUCCAAUAGCGUAUAUUAACAUUGUUGCAGUUAAAACGCUCGUAGUUGACUUUCAGGGGUGUGUAGUCCCGCGGGACCCGCUCUUCGCUCCAAUUCGUUGAAGUCGAAGGGUAGGGCGCCUGCACGCGAUCCAUCCCUUUAGGGUACGUUCGUGGGAGAGUUCCUUGGUUGGGGCUUGACGCGACGUCCCUGGUACUUUGAGGAAAUUAGAGUGUUCAAGGCAGGCGACUGCUAGGGGCAACCCGCUUGAAUACGAUAGCAUGGAAUAACGCCAUUGAAGAGGCCCUUUGGGGUUUGUCCAUUUUUCUUGGGAGGGCCUCGAGGUCCGGCCCGUGUUCCUCGUUUCGAGGGAGGCGUGUGCGCGGAGUACGAUUAAUAGGAGUAGCUUGGGGGCCUUCGUAUUCCGAUGUUAGAGGUGAAAUUCUUAGAUUUUCGGGAGACGAACUACUGCGAACGCAUUGGCCUAACAUACUUCCAUUAAUCAAGAACGAAAGUUAAGGGAUUGAAGACGAUCAGAUACCGUCGUAAUCUUAACCAUAAACUAUGCCGACUGGGCGUCGGGCGGGUCUUUUUUAAGGCGUCCCGUUCUGGCCCCCGUUCUUCUUCCUCGUGGGGAGGGGCGGGGUUGCUGGAAGAGGGCGCCGUACGAACUCCCUCGGUACCCUGCGAGAAAUCAAAGUCUUUGGGUUCUGGGGCGAGUAUUCGCGCAAGCGAGAAAGUUAAAAGAAUUGACGGAAGGGCACCACCAGGCGUGGAGCUUGCGGCUUAAUUUGACUCAACACGGGGAACCUCACUAGUGCCGGACAAGAGUAGGAUUGACACAUCUUCGGAAUUCGUUCCAUCGAUUGAAGCUCUUUCUUGAUUUCUUGGGGGGUGAUGCAUGGCCGUUUUUAGUUCGUGAAAUGAUUUGUCUGGUUAAUUCCGAUAACGAACGAGAUCUCACCCUGCUCAUUAGCAGUGGGUGCACGAUGCUUCGUUCGGAGGCGUUCGUCCUCGAGACGGGGAGCCGUCCCUUCGCUCCCUCUCGUCGCGUAGGUCCCUAGUGCGGCAUCUCCCAUAGCACCCUCUGAGGCGUGCAUGGGUGUGCGGCUGGGGGAGUGCCUUGCGCACGGUGGGGUGGUGUGAUGGGAGUCGGUCCGUUUCGGUAGGGGCGGGCGUGUCCGUCGGGGCGCAUCCAUGAUAUGCUUCUUAGAGGGACUGGGGGUAUAGAAUCCCAGGAAGUGUGAGGCCACAACAGGUCUGUGAUGUCCUUAGAUGUGCUAGGCUGCACGCGUGCUACACUGAUGCGUGUAACGAGCGACCGGGCCGCCCAUAAGCGCAGCCUUCUUUGGCUGCUUUUGUAGUGGAAGGGGGUUGCGCGUUGGUGGGGAGGCCUGCCUGCUCCGAGAGGAGUGGGGAAUCUGGAAUACGCAUCGUGAUGGGGAUCGACGAUUGCAAUUUUUCGUCUUGAACGAGGAAUGCCUAGUAAGCAUGAUUCAUCAGAUUGUGCUGACUACGUCCCUGCCCUUUGUACACACCGCCCGUCGCUCCUACCGAUUGAAAGAUAUGAUGAAUUGUUUGGACUGUUGUGCUGUAAGGGGCUUGCCUCUGAGCGCGAUGGGAAGAACCGUAAAUCCUAUCUUUUAAAGGAAG